Long non-coding RNA from Choloepus didactylus (southern two-toed sloth), 2811 nucleotides. RefSeq lists it as uncharacterized. The record is from RefSeq and is a predicted model, not a curated record. NCBI's taxonomy places the organism in Eukaryota, Metazoa, Chordata, Mammalia, Pilosa, Megalonychidae. The transcript has 4 exons.
GGUGAACGCAAGGCUCCUCUCGGUCUGGGCUGCCCAUUUUGUUUUCUCCUCUCCCCGAGUACGUCAUUCCCGUGGACCGGAAUCAUCCGCGUGCCACACACUGACCCUUGAGAAAUCUUUUUCUGAAAUACUUCAAGAAUGAAGAAAACAUGAAGCAUUAUUGUAGCAUCUUCAUCAAUUCUGCAUAUGAUGUAAUGAGACAAACACCAGACUGGUUUUAGCUCCAGCUCAGUUGUUGAACUCCAGAAAUUAGGCCAUUUCCACACGGUAAAACCCAAGCACCACCACCUACUGCCACCAGCCAGAAGGAUUUUUGAAGAGCAAAGACCUCAGCUUCUGCCUUUACUCCUGGCUCCAAGGGUUGCUGUCGUUAAAAGCUGCGGGCUUUGGAGAUAUGACUGAAUUUCUGCUUUAUUAAAGAGGGAAUAGGAGGUUUGGUGAGCCUCUAGCAGGUGAAGCUUGAAAUGGGAACUCGCGGAUUGUCUUCUGGGUGUGAUCCUCAUUCACUACACAUCUGAACAAGGCGGUUAAUGCCCCAUGCCACAUAGCUGCCCUUUUGCAGUGAAGCUGUAAAUUUCAGAAGAGAGAAGAAAGGAAGAAGGAGGUAGAGUCUGGUGAGAGGGCACCAGAGAACAUUUCCUUACUUCACAAUUUGCAAUGGCCUAGGUGGGAACUGAGUAGAAUAAUGUGUCUCUGCCUGGGACUUUGCCUGAGGUUCUGGCUAGGACCAAGGGAAAACGCAAGAAGGGCCGAUGGUCCAGAGGUGGCCAAUUUCAUUGAGGAAAUGUGGCGCCCCUCUCUGCCUGGGCCCCAAGGCCACAGGGUUAGCGUUCAGCCCACCCAUCAGGGUUCCCCUUACUAAGGCCUCUGCCAGGAAGACCUGGUGGAAACAUGACUCGGUAACAUUAAUUCUGGAAAGUCUCAUCUAGAACUCUCUGCAAAUUAUUUGAAAACACCAUUGUGGAACUGUUUGAAGAAUCAAGCAUCUGUAUUUAACAUGACUGCUGAUUGCAGCAGUCGGAAUAUUAGACUCAACAAAUAUGGGUCUACAUCUGAGACAUGAGAGACCCUGGCAAAUGGUUUAACCUCUCCGUGCCUCAGUUUCAUCAUAGGGGAUAAUAUAUCUACCUCACUGAAUGAAUGUGAGGCUCCGUUGAUAUAAUUUACUCAGAAGUCCACACAGCACCAAGUACAUAGACAGCACUCAACAAACAGUGACCAUUGGUAUCUUUUGCUAAAAUAUUUGCAACCUCCGCCACUUCAAUUCAUCUACAGCGGGCUUCUUCACUGAUAAGGAGGAGCCCUCCAGUGGGGUCAUGGGGCCCUCAGCCCAUUGCUGAUACGAGGCAGUUAAAUCAGAGCUACUUCUUGGCCUGAUCUAAAAAGUCAAGACUCAGUCCACAAAAGGCCAGAAUCACUGUGACAGCAACUGUUUAACACUUCAAAUAUUAUCUUCUUCCACCUUAAAAUAACCUGCUUAAAAGAGGGGAAAGUUGGUUCCAGGCUCCAACUCCUGAGAUUUUUAUUUAAAGAAAACCCCAUCUUUACUUGCAGCUGAGAAGCUGAAGAUUAAAAAUUAGCCAGUGUAUAGUAGCUGAGCAGUAACAAUUUUUCAUAAAGGAUUUUACUAUACAUUUGGGAUUAUAAUUUCAAUAUUAUGCAAAUACAUUUUAUGAAUCUGUAAUAGAGAAUGUGUACUGGCGUUAAUGUGUAUUAGCUGGUGAGCACAAAAAGGCUUCAAAUGAGCCAUUUUGGUGUCUGCUUUCAACAUGUAUUAUGAAUAAUAAGUAAAAGGGUCUGGUUUAGAACAAAUAAUAUAAAAUCUGAAUUCCUCUUGAUGUACACCAGUGACACAGCCCGACACAACUCCCAAGGAAUUCUUUCAUCAGACACAAUUAAAAACUGGCUCUCAACCAAUAUAUUCCUGUUUAUAGCUGCUCUUCUUGAAUGGGAUGUAAAAAGUAAAAUAAAUGCAUUUAAUAGGAAAAGGGGAUAACUUUUCCCUGUUGUUCAAAAUCAAGCAUUAACCAGAUGAGUGAGUUAAAAGGGCAUGACCCCUUAGAAGUCAAGAUAGUAGGACACUUUUUAGAGGAUAUGAGUAUUAAAAAAUGAAGACAUCUAAACAGGGUAAUAAAACUUGUGGCAUAUUUCAAAUUACUGGAAGUAACAAAUUUAAUGCCUUGAAUACAAAGUAGUUAAUGCAACAUAAUUGUGUUCAUCCAGAGAUAUUUAAAUGCCAUGUCAAUAACAUUUCUUCAAAGUAAGCUACAAACCUUGUGACCAAAUAUGAGGGCCCAGAUUGAAAGCUAUCUGACGUGUGUCCUCUUUCAACCCCAUCAGCCUGCUUUCAUGAUUAUAGGGAUAAACUGUAUUGAUUAAAAUGCUCAAAAGCUAGUGUGAGGCUCUUUAUAAAUGCCGAUUCCUGAGCCAAACAGUUCUCCUGGCCUCCUUGUGAUAGCCUCUAAAACACUGUUUCUUUGCUUUUAUUUUCACUUUUCAAUUUUGCUUGAUAACAAAGCAAAACUAAACAAUGUCAUAUCUAUUAAAGACAGUAACAUUAUUUUAGAAAUAAUCCAAAAUUUAUAUUUGUGUAUAUUUAGUUAGGACCUUGGAGGUCUACUGAUCCUGUUUCUUGAAUUUGUUAACACUUGCCCUGUUAUCUGACAGUAUGAGGAAGGGGGCUGGGGACAGGGGUCACAGGAACAUGGGGCAGUCUGGAGGAAGGCGAGAUUGCACUAUCCAAUGAUUAUGGGCUAGAUAUUCAGCUGAGGAAGAAGAAUGCAAAGAUUCUCUCUCUCUCAAACAGCCAUC